GGGUCGAUAGCUCAAUUGGAUAGAGCAACAGCCUUCUAAGCUGUAGGUUGCAGGUUCGAUUCCUGCUCGACUCA
RNAcentral lists this transfer RNA (74 nucleotides) under Spirochaetota bacterium. RNAcentral describes it as "tRNA-Arg". It matches the Rfam family "tRNA". From Rfam's summary of the family: Transfer RNA (tRNA) molecules are approximately 80 nucleotides in length. Lineage: Bacteria; Pseudomonadati; Spirochaetota. The record is from RNAcentral.